AUUGAACGCUGGCGGCAUGCUUUACACAUGCAAGUCGAGCGGCAGCGCGGGGGCAACCCUGGCGGCGAGCGGCGAACGGGUGAGGAAUACAUCGGAACGUACCCCGGAGUGGGGGAUAACGCCGCGAAAGCGGCGCUAAUACCGCAUAUGCUCUGAGGAGGAAAGUGGGGGACCGCAAGGCCUCACGCUCUGGGAGCGGCCGAUGUCCGAUUAGCUAGUUGGUGGGGUAAUGGCUUACCAAGGCGACGAUCGGUAGCUGGUCUGAGAGGAUGAUCAGCCACACUGGGACUGAGACACGGCCCAGACUCCUACGGGAGGCAGCAGUGGGGAAUUUUGGACAAUGGGGGCAACCCUGAUCCAGCCAUGCCGCGUGAGUGAAGAAGGCCUCGGUUGUAAGCUCUUUCAGACGGAAGAAACGACAUCGGUGAAUACCCGGUGUGGAGUGACGGUACCGUAACGAAGAAGCACCGGCGUAACUACCGUGCCAGCAGCCGCGGU
This 498-nucleotide ribosomal RNA is filed under the name uncultured bacterium. Its description in RNAcentral is "bacterial SSU rRNA". It matches the Rfam family "Bacterial small subunit ribosomal RNA", at positions 29 to 521 of the family's 1533-position model. The record is from RNAcentral.